UACGUAGGGUGCUAGCGUUGUUCGGAAUCAUUGGGCGUAAAGCGCGUGUAGGCGGUUUGUUAAGUCGGAUGUGAAAUCCCUCGGCUCAACCGAGGAAGUGCAUCCGAAACUAACUGGCUAGAAGAUGGCAGAGGAAGGUGGAAUUCCAAGUGUAGAGGUGAAAUUCGUAGAUAUUUGGAGGAAUACCGGCGGCGAAGGCGGCCUUCUGGACCAUUCUUGACGCUGAGACGCGAAAGCGUGGGGAGCAAACAGG
RNAcentral lists this unclassified non-coding RNA (253 nucleotides) under uncultured Oligoflexales bacterium. RNAcentral's name for it is "contains 16S-23S intergenic spacer region". It matches the Rfam family "Bacterial small subunit ribosomal RNA", at positions 524 to 776 of the family's 1533-position model. Lineage: Bacteria; Pseudomonadati; Bdellovibrionota; Oligoflexia; Oligoflexales. The record is from RNAcentral.